GGAGGGUUUGGAAUAUUUUAAGAACAUUUGUAUGCGUGAAAACUUAAAGGCCAAGCUCAACUGUGCUGUGCAGUUGAAGAACACAGCAUGAGUAACUUUGUUAACAUACAUUUACUGACUCAAUUAAUUUAAUUUGUUGUAAAGAUUAGUUUCUAUCCAAAGAAGGAAAUGCAUGUUUAAUGGGUUCUUGAAUUAUUUAAGACAAAGCAACAGAACUGCAGCAACUUUUCAUUAAUUCUCAUCCAUUCAUUUCUGAAAUCAGAAGUAAAAAAUAUAGGAUGAUGAAUCUCAAAAAGCAAUAGCAAUAUAGAAUUGGUUCGAUCCCCAGGCUCGUUUGUAUGAAGAGAGCAUCUGUUAGGAGAUGUCAAUUCAUUAAAUAUAUCAAAUAUAUCUCCAUACAUCAAGGGAUUAAGCUCUAGCUUUCCACAGAAGAUAUUCCGGACAACAAAAAGAGAAAACGAAAUGGAAAUUUGGUUUAAGUACAAACAAACAAAGUGGGAUGGUUACAAAUAAUGGAAACUUAGUAGCCUGGUGGCUUGUAGGCAAUGAAACUGAUGCACUGAACUUGACGAACACUGUCAAAUCCAACGAUACGGACGAAGCCGUCGGGGUAGAGAGUCCUGGCCUCUCGAAGCUCCUUCAGAACCUGAGAAGAAUCAGUGCAGCCAUACAUAGGCAGCUUCCACAUGGUCCAGUACCUUCCAUCAUAGUAUCCAGGUGACCUGUUGUUCUCACGGUGUGGGAAAGCGUCCUAUAAACUCAAAACUCAUAUCAUUACUAUCAAAACUCAUAACUGUUAAAAAAUAACUGAUUCACACAAAUAAUUUUACUCUUCGAUCCAUUGUUGGUUACUCUGUUCCAAGAAAUUUACCUUAUGGCUCAACUCGAAUUCCAAACAAGGGAUCCAUCCACUCCUAAGAAGGUAGUCUACUUCCUUACCCAGCUGUUCCUCAGUGAGGUCUGGCAGGUAAGAGAGAGUCUCGAACUUCUUCUUCCCAAUUGUUGGCCACACCUACCAUCCAUCAUAUCAUAAUUUCAGUAACAUUUUCUAUCCAUCUAACAUAUAAUUCCAAUCUCUAUCUAUGUGUAGAUAGAUUUCUUACCUGCAUGCAUUGCACUCUUCCACCGUUGUUUGCAACCGAAGUAAUGUCAUUGUUUGUCUUCCUCGUUGGGAACCCACCCAAGGACUUCAGCCCAGUGAACGGAGCCACCAUCCCGGCGGCACCGGCACGGUUAACGGUCGUAACAGCUGGAGAGGAGAUCAUUGAUGAAGCCAUUUCCUUCACCUUUCUGAAUCACUUGCAGUUCUACUGCCAGAUGACCAAGCUUCUUCUCCUUCUUGCUAUAUAUAAUACUGUGAUUUCUUCACUACUAAUCCAAUGGUUUCAAAUGAAAGGGAUCCGUUCCUGACAUGUUACAACCGUUGGAUUCUAUAAGUGAUGACAUUACAUCAUGUUGUCCACACGAGUAAGGAAAAUAUUUGAAUGAUAACCUUAUCGUUAGGUACCAUGUGGAAGUGACACGUGGAGGAGGCUCCAUUAUCUUAUCUCUUCCUUGGAAGAACGUAAAUUUGUGAUUGUGGUGGAAUUGAUAUUAUUUGUUAGUGGUUUGUACUAAUGUGCCUUCAUUCCAUAUUGGCCAAACAUAUUAUGUGAUCAUAAUUUCUCAUGCAUGUUUUAUUUUAUUACUCGUGUAUGUAAGAAAAUACCAUUUGUCUUGUCCCUUUGUUUCAGUAAUGUUUUAUAUUUUAAACGUGAAUGUGCAUUGAAAAAAAAAAAAAAAUAAUCAAGAGAACCACCAUAUCAGCUGACAGAUUUUAUCCCUUUUGUUGGGUAACUGAAGAACUUAUUUCAGUGAGGGAAAUCUUUUAGUAUUGCUCGAAAUAUUCAUUACAGUAGGUUUUGUUAUGUUAAGAUAUGUUUGAAAGUAACAGGAGUAAAGUAGAUAACCAGAAUGUGUAUAUGGUAUAGAAGGGUUUGUAGAUGAUGGGCUUAUCAUGUUUGGUUGAUUAAUGGCCAAGCAUAUAUGCUUCAAAGAUAUAAUUUGGUCAUAACUAAAUCAAUGCCCUCAAACCUCAUACCGUAAAGUGCAUUGCCUAAGCUAACACCAAUAAGGCACAAAUGAAAAGUCAAGGAUUACAUGAGAAGUUCAAAGGAUGUGGAAGUUUAUGAUUAUGCUUGAAGAACUGAUAUAGUGUUUUAGAUGAAAUUGGUUAAUGGUUUAGAAUUUCACAUCUGGAGUGGUAAAAUUGUUAGUUUGUUGUAGAAUUAUGUUCACAUGUUAGUUCCAGUGAAUUUUUCGAAGAAACUCUUGGUUUAUUUAUUCUUGAAGAGAUCAUGGUUCGAUCUUUCUUCCGAGCACAAUUUGUCUUGUAUGGAUUUUUCUCAUACGUAGUCCCCCACCAAAUGAAAACAAAUAUCUACAUCUGCCAUUGCAACUCAUUUAAGAUAAAUGAUAUGCCGAAAAUAUCAAUAGGAUAGCACUUCCAAUUUACGAACACAAAUCCUUCAUUUUUGGAUAAACAAAUUUCACAUCCAUUGAGCAUUCUAUCCCAUUUCAAAUCAUGUAACAAAACACUCUCUUCUCUUCAACGCCACUUCUCAGUCCACUGAAUUCCUUAUUCAAGAAAAGCAAUGAAAUUUGGUAAUGGAACUAUCACAUGAGCUAUGUAGGAAAUUGCAUAUAUCUUUUCACUCUAGUUUUGGUAUCUUUUCACUCUACCUUUUGACUACAAAUUCUAAAUUAAACUUCUUAAGGCAAUGAAUCAUCUUCAGCUUCUAAAACAUUAUUUUCUUUUAUUACUUAACCGCCUGGAAAACAUCCUCAAAUGGGUACGAAACUCAAAUAAAAUUCUUUGUUGAUGAAAACUACAAUGACAAUUAUCUUGUUUUUAUACUUGUAGUAAUUUUUUUUUUAAAAAAAAAGAGUAAAACAAAUGCAAAAAUAAAAGUCUCCUACUAGAAUUUGCUUAUCACGUUUAACUUUCUAUAAUGAGUUUUGGGGCUCAAUUCUAUAUGAUGGGCGACGUUCCGAAGAAGAGGCCGAUUGGACUACUUGAAGCUUCCUUCAAUGAGUAAAGAUGUAGCAAAAAGAACAAAAACUUGAGAUUGAAAACAAACCUUAGGAGAAACCCUGGGUAAAAAGGUAGUUCAGUUGAGGUUGGAGGUUUAGAGGUAGAAGAUGAUUUAAACGACGAAUAAACCCUAGAAGAUGAAGGAACCCUAAGUAAACCGAUUAAUCAGAGGAAAAAGAGAAACUAACUGGUAGAAAUGAGGAAUGAACGAAGAAAAGGUUGUUACCAAAAUGAAGAAUGAAUGAAGUUUUGGUGAUGAAGAAAAUCAAGUCUCAAGCAUCAAGUUGAAAGAAGAACAAUUGAAGACUUGUAACACGUUAAAAAGCUUUUGUAAUAAGUGUUAAAAGUGUCUUAGAACUUAGGUUUUAGAUAGUUUUUAAUUCCAUGCAAGUUUGAAUUAUGAAUUUCUAUAAGAGUCAAAACCAAGUUGUAUAGUAAUCAAUUGAUACAGAUGAUAAUCAAUUAGUGAUAAUUGAUUAACAGGUGAAAUAAUCGAUUAUAAAAGUCAGUUUUGGAUAACUCCUAGUUUCGAUGAUAAUCGAUUAUUAGGAAAAAUAAUUGAUUAGUGAUAAUCGAUUAUCACUCGAAAUAAUAGAUUAUCUUGUGUAUCGUUGGAGUUUUUGGCCGUUUUCUAGCCGUUGGAAUAUCUGUUUUUCUUGUUUUUAGUGUAUAAUCGAUUACCGAGUAUGAUAAUCGAUUAUUACUUCAAAAUGGCUGAAAAUGAAUGUUUGGAAGGUGCCAAGCUUGAGUUUAUACAUAAUCUCUCAUUUCUAGCAUCUUGGACAUUCCUUUGAGCUUAGAAUUAUUGUAAAUCACUUGAGAUUCUAUUAUUCUUGUUACGCUUGAGAAACUCGUGUUUGCGAAGCUCGGGAAGUGCUACUACGGUGCUAGAGGAAAAGUCAGUUCAUCCUUGGUGUGUUUGAGGAGGUGUUAUGAGAAAGGUUUCAUCCUUUGUGCGGUUGAAGGAAGUGGGUUCAUCCCUUGGUGUGUCUAAGGGAGUUGUGUUUCAUCUCUUGUGACUUCAAGAGAGGUGUUUUCUAAACCUUGCAAAUUGUAUCUGUGUGAUUGUAGUUUGUAUUGAUUUUGUGAUUAGUGGAUUAGUUAAUCUUGUUUUGAGAAUAACAACUAGACAUAGGAUUGGUAAGAUCCAAACCAGUAUAAAAUCAUCUAUGCAAAUUUCUCUCUACCUUACUCUUUUUACUUUGUUCAUAUUAUCUGCAAAGUAAGUUUAAUUGAGAGAAAAUUUAAAAGGCACACAUUUUUGUAAGAAACCAAUUCACCCCCCCUCCCUNNNNNNNNNNNNNNNNNNNNNNNNNNNNNNNNNNNNNNNNNNNNNNNNNNNNNNNNNNNNNNNNNNNNNNNNNNNNNNNNNNNNNNNNNNNNUUCACGCAAUCGCUCCACUGCAGCCACUCUGACAAAUGGUAUCAGAGCUUGCUUUUACAGUCAGUCAAUGGAGGGAUAAUAUCAAACUUUUGUAGAGGGUGCUUCUAUUAUGCAUUUUGGAAACUUAGAAUGCACAUAUUUAUUGAGUCUAUUGAUGUUGUUACAAUUAACAAUAUGUAGGAACCUAAACCCUGUGAUCAAUGGACUAUUGAAGAAAAGAGGAAAGCUCAAAAUGAUGUAAGAGCUCGUAACAUUAUUUCAUCUACUUUAAUUGUCGAUGAGUUUUACAGGAUAUAUGUGUGUAAGAUUGCUCAAGAAAUUUGGGAAGUGUUAAGAGUAACUCACGAAGGUACAAAUGAUGUUAAGAGUGCCGGAAGAAAUACCUUAAUCCAGGAAUACAAGAUCUUCAUAAUGAAGCAAGGAGAAACUAUCCCAGAUGUUCAAAAAUCUUUCACCAACAUCGCUAACCAUCUCAUUGGACUAGGUAAGUCAUUUGAAGUUAAUGCACUUAACAUAAAAUUUCAAAAUCUUUAGACAGGUCUUCGCACCCAAAAGUGACUGCAAUUUCUAAGUAAGAAAAUCUCAACACAAUGACCAUGACGACGCUAUUCAAAAAGUUGAGAGAACAUGAACUUGACCUUGGAAGACUAGACGAAGAAGAAGGAAAAACCAAGAAAAAGACUCUAGCCUUCAAAUAUGAGGUACAAAAGACCUUCAUAAGAAGAAGAAAAUUUAAGUCUCCUAAUCAAAAGGCUUAACAGCUUCAUGAAAUCAAAAGGCAAAGGAAUAUUCAAAUACAAAAAGACAAAAAAUAAAGGAUGUUCCUUAAACUAUAGAUGCUAGUUAUAGAGAAAAAUGGGCACUUAAAAGUUGACUGGCCAAAUCAAAAGAAUGGUGAAGAAAAGAAAGAAAAGAGAAACUUAAAGAAGAGAAAAGCAUAAAUCACACGGGACGAUGACAAUGAAACAAUUUCUAACUUGAGCGAUUUAGAUGAAGAAGCAAACAUUUGUUUGAUGGCGGAUGACGACAUGGUUGGAAGCCAAGUAAGUACACCUAGCGAUUCUGAAAAUUCUAGUCAGUAUAAUAAUGAAGAUGAAUUGUAUGAUACUUAUGUUACUUGUUGAUAGGGGGAGCAAUAUGAGUGUCGAACCCAAUCCCUGAUGUGUUUGGUUUCUGAUGAUGACAACACAUAGAUGGUGUCAUGACACAAUAGAAAUAUGUAUUAGUGAUUGAUACAUAUUUGGAUAUGUAUAUGCUUAUUGUGAUUAAUACAAAUGUUGACAUACUGUUGAUUCUGCAUACUACUGAUCAUGAUGUGUUUAUAUCUUGUAUGCAUAUUGUAUGUUUCUGUGUGAUGAAAACUACAAGGACAAAAGCAAAUAUGCAUGAAAUAAUGGAUUACAAUGAUGUUGUAAUCAAUUAAGUUCAUCAGAUAGUUUAUGUUUUAAACUAUGGCAAAACAACAAGUUUUGAAUCAAUUACAUUAGUUGUUAAAUUGAUUAAAACUCGUGUCUUUGCAUAUAUCACUUUCAAAUGUGUUGUGAUGUGUUUUUGAAGAGAAAAAGUUUUCAAAAUAUGUUUAAGUGUUUAGCUUAAUCGAUUACACAUUUUAUGUAAUCAAUUAAGUUUAUUAUCUUUUGAAACCUGAUUUCAACUUAGUCAAAACAAUAUUAACAAUCAUAUUUUUAAAUAUGUUUAACUAGCAUUAAAUGCAAAUCGAUUACAUUAAUUGUGCAUUCAAUUAUAUAUGUGUUAGUUGAAUUUCUGUUACAUCUGAUUUUAAUGUAACCGAUUACAUUACUAACGUAAUCGAUUAUUCUGCGUCUGCAUGAUUAAAUCUAUAAAUUGACGUAUUAAAUGCAAUUGUAAGAACUUUUGAUCAUUUGUACAUUUUCAUAUCUGAUAUCUUUGAUCUGAGGAAGUUUUACAAAUUGCUUAGAUGCAUCAAGAAUCAAGAAGUGAAGAAUUUGAAGAAACUUGAAGGAUUCUUGAGAGAAGCUUUGAAGAAUGUGACUGACUGAUCUUAUUUACACUAUGAAGGUGUAUCUGCAUUGAUUCGAAAAGGAUUCUGCAAUCGUUAAUUGUGUUGUUUCCCUGUUCGUGCGUGAUAGGAAGAAGAGUGAGGAGCUCUUCAACUUUGAGAAGUGUUUCUCAAAGGGGUUCUACAGCAAGAACAUGUGGUUUUGUGUGCGUAGGAGUUUUUUUUCUUAUAUUUGAUUGUUGAGUGGGAAAGGUGUUUACAUUUGAGAGAGCUCUGUAAAACCGUUGGUAUAAAACUCAAAUCAUUAUAGUGAAAGAUCCUUCAAUCUAAGGUUUAUUGGAAAGGAAACUAGAUGUAGGCAUUGAGGUGGAACCAGUACAAAUUUGUUGUUUGUAUCUCUUUCAUUAUCUCUUUACUUUCUUUGCAUAUGUGUUUUACUUACAACACAAGAAAGUUUAAAGAUCAUUCUAACUUUGCAAAAAUAUUUGAAAAACGUGCAUUUUUAUAAAUCACCAAUUCAACAACCCCCCCCCCCCAUCUUAAUAUUGAGAAACAAGCCUCUUUAUUUCUAACACUACUUUCUUAGUUGAAUAUGAAAAAUUAGAUAUAACUCAUAAGAAAUAGAAAAAGGAUUUCAAAGAGCUAAAAUUGAAUUUUGAAAAUAUUCUUGAAGAAAAUAAAUAUUUGAAAAAUAAAAUUUUAUAUUAUGAAAAAGGUAAAUGUACUAGUAGUGAUGAAUGUUUAUCUUGUGUAAAUUAUAAGAAACUACUAGAUAAAACAACCCUAGAUUUUGGAUAGAAAAAGGAAAUACUUAUAGGAACACAAAUAUUUCAUAUUUUUAUUGUAUGAAAAAGGUUCAUACUUCAAACAAAUGUAAACUUAAGCAUUAUGAUGUUCCAAGGGGUAAAUAUGUUUGGGUUGUAAAAUGAUUCAAAAUUUUCAAUCUAACCCAAAGGACCCAUACAAAGUUGUUGGUACUUAGUUUGAAGAAACUAUUUUCAAUUUUCUUAGUUGAAUCUUGAACAAAUUAUUUUCAAUCAAGAUAUCAUUCACAAUAAAGAAAGGAGCAUGUAACACAUAACAAUACAUGUGUUAUUAAUAAUGUGUUGUCAUCAUAAAAAACCAUAACACUGUGAGAUUAAGGUUUAGCUAAACCAGUGCUUCCCUUAUCAAUAAUCUCAACAGGUUCAAUGUGAUCUUUAAUCCUCUAUCACAUAGCUGGCUGAUAUUGAGUAGAUUGUGCUUUAACCCUUCAACAAGAAGUACAUUUUAAAUUUCAUAAGAAGAGGGAGUUUUGAUUUUACCUAUUCUGAUGAUCUUCCCUUUCUUGUUGUCACCGGAUGUGACAUGACAGAAGUCUUGUAAGAGGUGCUUGAGAAUUUGGUAGGAUCCCCUAUCAUGUGUCUUGAGCAUCCACUAUCCAAGUACCACAUGGAGCUUUUUGUUCCUUGUUCCAGAUUCACUUCUGUAGUCUCAUAAUUUGCCAUCAUGAUAAGAUCAUUUUCAGAUGCAAUCUUCUUGUUAUCACUUUGAUUCUUUUGGCUUUUUUUUUCAUUGAGAAAUCUUGUAAAUCUAUCAGCAUGCAGAUUGAUUCAUUCUGAUUUGGAACCUGAAUUGUCAUCAAAAGUUUCCUUGUUUCACAAGAUCCCUGUUUCAAAAGAUUCAUAGAAGUCGUUAGUAAUAGAAUUUUUCUUGGCGUUGCAAAUAACGGAUACUAAUUCAAAAGCAGAUUCACUUGUUGUUCUUGUUUGAGAAAUAGAAGUCAUUUGCCCAGAAUAGUCGAUUCAAAGAAAAGUGUAAUCACUAGUUUUUCAAAUAUCAUAAGAAAACUAGCUCUGGUGUCAAUUGUUGAAAAUAGAAUGGCUUAGUUUCAACACCAAGAGGGGGAGGUGAAUUGGUGAAAUAUAAAAAUCGGAGUCUUUUUAAUUUUUUUUUUUUUUUUGUAAAAGAGAGAACUUUUAAAAGUUUCUUGAAUCACAAGGAAAAAGAUAAAUCAAUUGCAGCGAAAAUAGUUGACUACGUUAAAAUUAAAGUCGACUUGAAAUGUAAAAGUAUAGGGAUAGAAGAUUCAAACGCAGUUUUUAUACUGGUUUGGCCAAACUGCCUACAUCUAGUGUCCUUCCUGUACCCGGAAGCAAAUGCACUAUAAUGAUCAGGGUUUUUAAUACAAGGUUUCUAUAUAGACCUCCACGUCAAAAUAUAAAACAACUUUCUAACCCUUUUACCAAAAUAUAGGCAUAUACAAAACAAAGAACAACAUCAAGAUAUCCCUUCUCCUGCAGUCUUUAAUCCCUUUGAACAAUCAUCAAAGUCCUAGAACGCAACACGUCCUCUUCCUGUAAUCACAAAAGGGCAGCCGCAAUCUUCACAAGAUUGAAACAAGUAGUCGAUCACGUUUCAAACACCUCACUGUGCAAUAUGAUCAAUUUGUCUUUAAGCACCAACACUUGCUCUACAAGCAACCACCAAAGAAUGAUCACCAUGAUUUUUCUUGAUGAGUUCUUGGAGCUUUAGCACGUUCUACAAAUCUGAAAAGAAUCAAUGAAAUCAUUAAAUUCAUAAAAGUCUUUCUAGAAAUCAAAUUUGCGUCUAUUUAUAGUUUAUCACGAAACUGACGCUCCUCAAGUCGACUAUGCUGCUAAUAGAGUCGAUUAACCACAAACAGUUAUAACAUUUUAGUAGCAGUCAGAUCAACUUAAUUGAUUACACAUUUAAUUCAGUUGACUAACAAUUAAUGUCUGGGCAAAGAUACAAAAUAUAGCCGUUAGACAUCACAAGCAUCAACAGAAUUUCAAAACAUAAUUAACUAAGUCGAGUAGCUUGCGCAUACAAUCAACUUUGUAACACUUCAAUGCAGUUUUGAAAAUCUUUCUUUGCAAAAAUAAUCACAGCACUGUUUGGAAAAGUUUGUGCAAAGACACGAGUUUUAAUCGACUUGCUUCAUGAUGAAGUCGACUUAAAAUUGUUGUUUUGUCACACAAUAUACAUUAAACCAAAGUGCAUGUGGUUUUCUUUUCUAAAUCAUAUGUUAUGAAAUAACAUAUGAUAUCUCAUGUAGAACACAGUAAGUUUGCACACAUAGACAAAAUCAACACAAACAUGUUCUCAAAUAAUCAUACAUAUGAAAGUAAAGAACAUGUAACACAUAUGAAUAUGUAACAACACAUGUUUUUAUUAAUAAUACGUUGUCAUCAUCAAAAACUAGUGCUUUCCUUAUCAACAAUCUCAACAAAGUAGUUGCAAAUAGAAAGCACUUUUAACGGGUUAGCCAAGAGUAGGUACGAUCCUAAACAAUACUCGAGAGACUAGUUAGGGUGGGUAUAAUUGACUUUAAAAUGGGGUUGCAAAGAGCCUCAAACUAUUUAUACACAUAUGACACUUUAAGAUUCUUAUGUGUAUAUUUUUAUGUGUCAUGUAGCAAAAGUUAUGGUCAUUUGAAGAUUUUCACCACCAAAUCUUCAUAAGUAUGAAUUUUGGACCAAUAUCUCACAGUUGAACACUCUACAUUCAAAUACAACUUAAUAAUAGUUCCUAAAAAAAAUAAGUCAAAAAUAUUUUUCUAGCUAUUUGUAGUGAAUUUUAUGGCACACAACAAUUUCUAAACACCAACCUAAAUAAGAAAUGAAAUCGGAGAGAAUGAGAGUUUGAGUUUAAAAGAGUAUUGUCGUUGUUGUAGUUUCGUGAUAGGUUUCACACAAACGAGUAAGAGAAAGGUGAGGACACUAACACUAUUUUUAAAAUUUUAAAACGCAAAUUGACAGCAAACCCCUCACUAUAAACGUCAAAUUGCAAAUUAACGUCAAAUCUAGAGUAGUUUGACAUUAUUUAAUGUCUAUUGGUUCUAAAGUCAAUGUUAAUUUCAAAUUUAACAUCUAUUGUAUGAGAGUUUGACGUUAAUUUAAACAAAAUUUUUAUAAAAAUAUUAUUGUAUAUUGUUAAUGUCAAAUUUUGAAUCAUACAAUAUAGAACUGGCCACAUUAUAAGUUUUAUUUACACUAGUAAUUAUAUUUGUACUAUAUGAAAUAUACCGAUCGGAGUUAACAGGUAUUAAUGGGUCAGAUUGCCAUAUGCUUUACAAAUAUAUGAUAUUAAUUAUUGAUUAUUGGGUUUGAUUCCCUAAAAAUAUACUACACUAAUGGUUAAUCAAUGGACUUGGUUGCCAUAAGCCCUAUAAAUAUACAAUUGAUGUUCAGGUACAAUCAUCCUAAUAAAAUAUAGACCUCUUUAUGAAACAUAUCUGACUUGAGCGUCAGAGUGUCUUCUGCAGGUCAACAAUCCAUCAGAUGGAUUGCGUGCUCGAAGAGGAUUGGACGAUCGAAAGAGAGUAGAGAAAGGAAGGACGACCAACCCUCGGACUAAUUCAACCGAAAAAUUUUGGCGCCCACUGUGGGGCCGAGCAGCAUUCCCAUGAAACCACGAGGAACCAGACAUGCGCUCGGUCUCGAUAUCGCUACUUUGGAUCAAUACCAGGUUUUGCAACAGCAGCAAAAAGUUUCAUAAUAAUUUUUAAAUACAUGUCUUUUGUUUUGGAAACUUUCAGGAAGGUUCAGACCUACGUUCAACCUUGUCACAUUCCAAUUACUUUUAAUUAUAAUUUAUAAAUUAUAAAAUAUUGAUUUAACUCAUAUUUUUGUGAGUAAAAAUAUCAUGUGCAGGAAGGUCCAACCUACGUUCAACCUUGUCAUUUUCCAAUGACAUUUCAUUUUAAAUUAUAAAAUAUUAACGCAUAUUUUUGUGAGUAAAAAUAUCAUGUGCAGGAAGGUUCAGACUUACAUUCAACCUGGUGAGAUUCCAAUGGCUUUUCAUUAUAAAUUAUAAAAUAUUGAAUAUUUUAUUUAACGCAUAUUUUUGUGAGUAUAAAUAUCAUGUGUAGAAAGGUUCAGUCCAACAUUCAACCUUAUCAGGUUCUAAUGGCUUCUCAUUCUAAAAAUAAAAUAUUAAAUAUUUUAUUCAACGCAUAUUUUUGUUAGUAAAAAUAUCUUGCACAAGAAGGUUCAAUCCCUUACCGCUUGGUCAGUUGAGGAAAAAGAACUCCUCGCUCAACAUAGGAAAAAGUUUUGGAAAAAGAACUCCUAUCAGACGCCGCCCAACCUAGAGAAAAAAGUUCUGGAAAAAUAACUCCUAUCAGUUGCCACCCAGCUUAGAGAAAAAAGUUCUGAAAAAAGAACCCCUCGCCCAAGAUAGGAAAAAGUUCUAGAAAAAGAACCCCUAUCAAUCGUCGUUCAUCUUGUCUUAUUUGCUUGGUCGUUCAACUUUUUAGCAUAAUCUAUUUUGAUAUUAAUGGUCUAACCUCAUAAAUGCGUUGGUUUGAUUGGAAAUAUUUUUUCUGACAAGUUCAUAUUCAAAUUUUUAUUUUUCUUCAGUGGAGAUAACAGAUUCUAGCUUCUACUGCUCAACAUGGGAAAAAGUUCUAAAAAGAACUCCUAUCAACAUAGGAAAAAGUUAUAAAAAGAACUCUCAUCAAUCACCGCUCAACAUGGGAAAANAAAGAACUCCUAUCAACAUAGGAAAAAGUUAUAAAAAGAACUCUCAUCAAUCACCGCUCAACAUGGGAAAAAGUUCUAAAAAGAACUCCUAUCAAUACAAGAAAAAGUUCUAAAAGGAACUCCCAUCAGUUGCCGCUCAACAUGGGAAAAAGUUCUAAAAAGGACUCUUGUCAACAUAGGAAAAAGUUCUAAUAAGAACUCCCAUCAGUAGUUGGACCACUAAAGUCCAACCUUGUCAGGUUUUAAUGGCUUCUCAUUAUAAAAAUAUAAUAUUGAAUAUAUUGUUUAAGACAUUUUUGUGAGUGAAAAUAUCUUGCAUAGGAAAAAGUUCCAAAGAGAACUCCUAGAGUUCGCCCGCUCGGUGCAAAGAGGAAUGAAGACUUAAAUAGACUCCCUAAAUACAACGUGAGCAACCUCUCUUAAACUCGUAAUAAUCCUUGCGCACCUCUUUCAAUAAAGAGUUUGCUUGGGCUUGGGGGACUUAUGUACUAUAUGAAAUAUACCGAUCGGAGUUAGCAAGUAUUAUAAUGGGUCAGAUUGUCUUACUCUUUACAAAUAUACGAUAUUAAUUAUUGAUUAUUGGGUUUGAUUGCCUAAAGGUAUAUUGCACUAAUGGUUAAUUAAUGGACUUGGCUUUCACAAGCCCUAUGAAUAUACAAUUGAUGUCCAGAUACAAUCAUCCUUUUGUGAACCUUGACCUAUCCUAAUAAAAUAUAGACUUCUUUAUGAAAUAUAUUUGACUUGAUCAUCGGAUUGUCUUUUACAAAUCAACAACCCAUUAGAGUGGAUUGCGUGCUUGGAGAGGAUUGAAUGAUCGAAAGAGAGCAGAGUCAGAAGAACGACCGAUCCUUAGACGAAUUUAACCAAAAAAAUAUUUAAUAAUAUUUUUGUAUCAUCCCUCUCGGGAUCUAUCAACUUAAAGAUUGUAUUGUUAUGUUUUGAAAAGCUGAUUCCAAAAGGAAGGAGGCGUACUAUUUUUGGAGUGUAAGAAGAAACUCAUGUCAAAUCCAAUUCGUGCAACCUUAAAAUUUGAGAAAGAAAAAAGCAUUUUGUUGAUGAAAUAAAAAAUUGUCAAGCCAAUAAUUUUCUUGGGUACUUGAAAUUGUGUCACUCUAAAGAAUUUAAAAACUUGAUGAUGAAUGAUGAACUAGGUUAUAGUCUAGGCCCACAAGAGUCACAUCGUGAAAAACACUGAUAUUGAUACAUGAUUGGGGAAGAAUACAUUCAUAUGGGUGUUCAUUUUCUCCACUUCUCCCCUUUGUUUUUUCAUGAGCACCACAUAUUUUAAGUAUGCAGCUGAACCAAACACUUAUAGUUCAGUCCUUAUCUUUCUUUCUCUUAACAAAAAAUGACCCCAUUUGUUUUGCUUUAAGGCAAGUGGUUGUGCAUGCCUUGUUGCCCUUUAUCAUUGUUUUGUUGGUUUCUGUCUUCAUUAAAGUACAAACGAUAGAAGUAAUUAAAAGAAAAAUUAAGCAGAUAAAAUGUAUUAUUUCGAUGAAUAUAAAUAAAAGGUAGAUUACGUAAAACAAAAUUCAAUUUGUCUAAUGGAGUGAAAGUUUAGUAAAUAAGUUCUAUAAAAGGGAUUUAACAAUUUAAAUAAUUAAUUUUAAUUAAGUUUAAACUUUUAUUACAUUAUUUCAUUAAAAAAGUAAAACAUAAAAAAAUGUAUCAAACAUUUUCUCGAUUGAAGAAAAUAUGUUUUAAAGCAUAAUUAUGAUAAACUUUACUUCUUCAUUUAUUUAAAUAAUGUGAAGUUAAUAUUUUCAUCACAGUUUACUCUUUUUAUUUCCUUUAUUUAGUAUUAUUUUAAUAUAUAUAUAUAUAUAUAUAUAUAUAUAUAUAUAUAUAUAUAUAUAUAUAUAUAUAUAUAUAUAUGCUUAGUCAAAUUAAAGAUGUAAUAUAUAUGCUUAGUCAAAUUUUCCUUACGAUUAUCAGAAGCAAUACCAAAUUUAAGUGCAAAAUGAGUUUACUAGUUGGUGUUGUAAUAUUUCUUUUAAUAUUUUUCAAUUUUUUAUAUAUUUUCUUUUCUUCUUUUUCUUUAUCUUUUGUAGAGGAACUUAACUUUUCUUUAUAUCAAUUUUGAAACAAAAACAACCAAUAUAUAAUUUUGAAUUUUCAUAACCAGACUAAGAUAAUAAAAUAUGUAGAGAAUCUAAGAAAGUAAUUACUAUUUUGACAAUUUCAAUAAGACUAUGUAGAACCUUAAUACUAGUAAUUUGUUUAGGAACUAAAAAUAAGCAUGAACACAUGCAUCCUAUCCACAUGAAAAUACAAUUGCAAAAAAUCUGACCCAAAAGUGACGCACACAUCAAAAGGUUUUUCAACUUUGUAAAAUGAAAAUAAAAUGGCUAACAUCGAAGUAAUGACAAUUUUGGAUUCAGAAGACUUAGACAAAACUUAUAUCAUCUAAAAGCAAAGAAAAAGACUCAAAAUAUAACCCAUACCCAUGACAAAUGAAACAAAAUUUUGCACAUAUUCAUAUAGAAAAUGGAAAUUCUAGAACACACGUCAAAGAGGAUAGCAGAAUGUUUAACAUAAAAAAUAAACCAAGAGGGGGUGAACUGGUUUCCUUUCGCAAAUGUGUUCCCAUAAUAAUUUUCUCUCCAUUUUAUCUUACUUAGAACAUAAAUUAAACAAUAAUAAAGAUUAAUGGAAGAGAGAAAAUUGCAUAGAUAAUUUUAUACUAGUUCUUAUCACGAGGAUCCUAAGUCCAGUUGUUAAUCCCAAACAAAGAUUAACAUUAUGUAGGAAUUGGUAUCGCGUAGCAUAAUGUUUUAAAGAGUGUGUAAACAGACAAUAACCAAGAGGGGAGGGGUGAAUUGGUUCUUUCAAAAACUUCAUUUUACCUUUUCAAAACUUUUGUCAAAUAGUUUAUAAAUAAAGGAUGAAGGGAUAGAGAAAAUCACACAAAUGAUUUUAUCCUGGUUCGAAUCAAAAGAUUCUACAUCCAGUCUUAAUUACUAUAAAAGAGUGAUUAACUUUUUCACUAAAAAAGAGUUUAAGAUUACAAUAAGAAUAAUGAAAUAAUAAGAACAUGAUACACCUUCCUUCGACACACGAUGGAUGAAUACCAACUCAAUCAACAUGUAGAGAACCGUUUGCACCUUUAGGCACACUAACCACAAGCUUCUCCUUUCUCAAGACUUAAUUAAGCUCGCACUUAAACUAAAGAACUUCCUCAGAACAAUUCUAUGCUCUCAAAUGGUUUAGGUUUUCUUUAAAAGGUUUAGGAGGAUUCUAUAUAUAGGACAAUUGUCAGAAAAUGAAAAGACAACACCCAACUGUCAGUGAUAAUCGAUUAUCACAACUGAUAAUCGAUUAUUUUAGGUCGUUAUGGGUUUUGGAAAAAUGUGAUAGUCGAUUAUCCUUAGUGAUAAUUGAUUAUUUUUGAACCCUUGACAAUAUCAAAACUUAUAGUGAUAAUCGAUUAUCCCCUAUGAAAAUCGAUUAUUGCUGCGAUAAACCCUUUUCUAUUUUUGCUUGUGAUAAUCGAUUAUCCCCUAUGAUAAUCGAUUAUUGCCGCAAGAAAUCACUAAGUUAUGAAACUUCUAAGUGUUUACAAUUGAAAAUAACUCCUAUACAAAUGCUUUUUACAAAAGAUGCUUUUAACAUUUAAAGUAUCGGAUUCUUCAAGUCUUCAGUCUUUAAGUUCAUCAUCAUCAAAAUCUCUUCAACGCAUCAAUGCUUAUCAUGGAUAACACAUUGCACUAUCACAAAACCAAUAAACUAUUACAAUCACACAAAAAAACAAGUUUAUGGGUUUAGAAACACCUCUCCUUGUUACCAUAAGAGAUGAAAUUCACUUCCCCUGAAGGCCAUAAGGGAUGAACAUGUCCUCCGAAUGAUUCAUGAAGGACGAACACUUUCUUUAAAUCUUCACAAAGGAUGAUAGGCUUCACUUAGCAAUAGCAAAAACACUCAACCACUCUCUGAGUGAAAUUUCUCGCUUUCUCCAACGCUAAGUUCUCAAAGUCAAAGUACAAGAGUAACACAAACCCUACAUCACACUUUUCACAUUUUACAACUAACAUAUGUGUGCUAGAAUGAGAGUCUAAAACAUCUUUAUAAAGACCUCACUCAAUGACACCUCCUAAAAUUCAUUGUCAAUUUUUUGUCGCGUGAUAACCGAUUACACACUUAUGGUAAUUGAUUAUGCAUUUAAUGGAUGCAUAAGGGCCAAAAACAAGCUUAAAAAAUCCAAUGACUAGUUAUGAUAUGGUAAGUCAUAUUUGAUUAUGGAUAAUAUAUUAUUCUAGAGCCAAAAUAAGUUUUUAUCAACAUUUAAAAACCUCAUUGCGUUAAUCGAUUAUCUUAAGUAGCUAAUCGGUUAUUGCAAAGUUCUUUUAUUCCAAAAUGAAUCAUCAGUGCAGUAAAGGGAACCGACAACGAUUAUUUUCACCUAUCUGCAUUGAUUCCACAACCAAGGUAUAUACAAGCAAGGCAAAAAGGUAGGCUUUUUGCCUUGGUUCUCAACCGAGGCAAAAAGGGGUAGUCUUUUGCCUCGGUUUCUUUUGAAUUGAGGCAAUAAAGGGUUUUCUUUUUCUUUUUUUUUUGGCCAGACUUUUUUUUGGCCUAUGAACCGAGACACUAUAGGGGAGCUUUUUACCUCAGUUUUGGGAUGAACCAAGGCAGUAGAGGGUUUUUCCUUUCUUUUCAUUUUUUGUCAGUCCUUUUGCCUCGAUUGUGCCUAGAAUCGAUGGCAUAGAUGGCUUUCUGCCUCGGUUAUGGUCACAACUAAGGCGUAUUCUACUGGUUUUUUUUAUAAAACAUGUCUAUUUCUAUAACAAUCCCACCUAUAGAAACAAACCUGCAUAUAUUCAACAGAAAAAAAUAAUGUAGAAACAUAUAUUCAAUGCAAAUUAUAAUCAUAAAUCAAUUCAAUGUACAUAGAAUUUUAAUCAUAAAGCAACUUAGAAGCAUAAAUCAAUCCAAUGUACAAAGUUAACCUAAUCAUAAAUUUGCUAAUGUAGAACUUAUUAUAUCCUAAUAUCUACAUACUAUUAUAGAGUUGAAUUACAUAUUUUCCAUGUGUUUUCAUUAUCAAUGUAAUGGACUUUGACGGAAUUGAAGUAGUAGAAUUGAAUCUCUAUAUAAGACACAAUGAUUUCAAUUAGAUAAUACAUGUACUUUCCUUAGCAUUCAUACUUUAUGUGUUUAUACAUGUGUUUACAUAUGUUGUAUACAUACUCAUACUUUGAUAUGUGAAAAUCACUUGCACAAUGUAUUAUCUGUAUGAAGUAAUCAAUUACAGAAAUUAUUUAAUCAAUUAAGUUCAUCAUAUAACCAUUUUCUUAAACUAGUGCAAGCUACAAGUUUUAACCGAUUACAUUAUGUGUAUAAUCAAUUAAAACUCAUGCCUUUACAAUACAUCUUUCUGGAUUAUGCUAUGAUGAGUUUUGUGUUGAAAAUGUUUUCAAAAUGCUUAAGUGUUGUACUUAAUCGAUUACACAUUUUAAGUAAUCAAUUAAGUUAGUUAUACUUUGAAAAAUGGUUGUUGUUAAGUCUUAACUAUCCCAACAGUCAUAUUUUAAUAUGUUUUGGCUUACAUGAUAUAUUGAAUCGAUUACAUUAUGUGCUUAAUCUAUUAGAUCUGUUUGAUUGUUUUUCAAGUGUAACUCUAUUACUUAUGUAACCUAUUACAUUAUUAUAGUAAUUGAUUAAACUACGUCUGUUAUGAGAAAAUUAUAAAUUGUUGCAUCGCACACUGUAUUGUAACGAAUUGAUCAUUCUAAACUUUCAUAUCUGAUGUUUGUGAUUUGAGAAAAGUGUUACAGGCUAAGACGCUCCAAGAAACAAGAUACAUAGAAGUUGAUAAAUCUUAAAGGUUUCUUGAAGAACUGAUUUGGGUUUUCACUACUGAUCAACUAUUGCACUAGUGAGGUGUACUCUUGAUUGAUCAAACUUCGCUUAUAGCAAUAUUGGAUUGUGUUGUUUCCCUGUGUGUGCGGCUAGGAAGAAGAGCAUGAAGUUCUUUGGACUUUGAGGGGAUCUCAAAGGGUGAUUAUAGGAGAGGAUUGUCCUUGCUGUAGGGUUUUGUUAUUGGCUAUAUUAAAUUAAUGAGUUAAAGAGGUGUUUACAUUUGAGAGGUGGUCUCUAUAAAACCUUAUUGUAAAAACUCAUAUCUUUAUAGUGCAUUUGGCUUUCAAUCUCAGGUUGAUUGAAAGGACAUUGGAUGUAGGCAUUAAGGCCGAACCAAUAUAAACCUUGUGUUUAUAUCUCUUUCCUUAUCUCUUUUACUUUCACUGCAUGCACUUUAUUGGUUAGAUUCCAAGAAAGAUUAAAGAUCAUUCUAAGUUUACAAAAAGAUUGAAAAAGUAAUUGUUUUUAUUGAUCACUAAUUCACCCCCCUCUCUUGGUGUUGAGAAACAAGACACCUCUUUUCUUAUAGCUUCCACUAGGCAAUUCUGGUAUCAACCAGAUACUCUUCCUAGUAAUGCUUAACUCACCUGAGUUAAUCAACAAAUGUUUGAAUUUUCUUCAGAAUAUGCAAUCAAUCAAAUUACUUACAAGUCUUAGACAAUUAGUCUCACAGAGAAAAUAUAUGUUCAACACUGGUUUAGCCAAACCUUACAAUCUCAUACCUUCUAGUUUUUGAUGAUGAUAACACAUUAUUAAUAACAACAUGUGUUGUUAUGUGUUACAUGUUCAUAGCUUUCAUGUUUAUGAUUAUUUGAGAACAUGUUUGUGUUGUUUUAGUCAAAUUAUGCAAAUUCACUGCGUUUUACAUGAGAUCUUAUUUGUAAUUGCAUAACAAAUGUUUUGAAAAAGGAAAACCACAUGCACUUUAGUUGAACUUUAAAUAGUGUGGCAAAACAGCCCCUCAGCGCUAGUGAACAAACAUUAAAGAGGGACGUUAGUGCUUGGGCUUUCGGUGCCAGUGUUGAGCGUUGACUGCGCAAGGUUUUACACCCUUGUUUUACACCCUUUUCUUUGUUGGCUGCAUCAAAAUAAAACCCCCAAUAUACGAACAACAAACGUUCUAGGCCGAAAUUAACACCCUAAAACCCCAAAAUCACUCAAAAUUGAUAGGACAACAUGAAAACUUAAAACUACAUGAGCAUGCAACAAUUUCACAACAUAAUUGUCAAAUGAAAUGCUCCACUUAAUCAAUUAAAGACAGCACAGCAGCAACCAUGGUUAUUGAAAACGCGAGUUAACUCGUUAACUCGGUCGAGUUUACGAGUUCAGAUAGUGCUUUCAAGUUAACUCAUAAGCAAACUCAUUUUUAGAGUAGGAUCGAUAGAAUCGUGGUAGACUCGCUAAACUCGCCUAAAAUCGCGAGUUUGGUUCCGAUUUUGCGAGUUUGGGAAAAAAAUUCGAAGACACAAAACAACUACGUUUUUAGGACUCACCGGAUUAGGUUUUUUAAAAGAUGCACUCAUUGUUCAUCUUGGUUUUCACUGUUCAUCUUCUUUCUUGCACUUUCGCUUUCUAUCUCGUUCGAUCUAGCCCUUCGUCGCGCCCUCAUUCACCAGGUUCGCCUUCCAUCGCGCCAUCCAUCUCGACUUUCGAACUCAGCCUCCGUCCGUCGUCGAUCUCGACCUCGUCCUCCGUCGUACCUUCAUUCUCAUCCUUGUGGGUUCUGUAAGUGCAAACCCCCAACCACUAAAAUCUUAAAUUUGGGUUCACGGGCACUGCAACAUAUAUUUUAAACACUUUUAUGGCACUAGCGCUCACGGGCACUACAACAUAUAUUUUAAACAUUUUUAUGGCACUACAACUGUUAUAAAAUCUGAAAUUUGGGUUCACAGGCACUGCAACAUGUAUUAUUUUAAUGAUUAUAAGUUCAGUUGAUGUCACGGGCACUGCAACAAAUAUUUUUUUAAUAAUUUUAUGUUGGGUUCAUUCAUAGCACUGCAACACAUAUUUUAAUGAUAUUUUAUUUUACAGCUGCAACGUAUAUUUUAAUAGAAUUUGUUUUACAAGCAUUGCACCACUUUACAACACUGCACUGCAUCAUUCUUUUUAUUUUUUUCAAUAAUAAAGUGUUGCACACUGCACUGUUAAAAAAACUUGCUGCCACAAUAUUUUUAAACUCUUGGAUAUUUUAUUUUAUAUAUUUGUAGUGAAAAAGCUUAUGUCACUAUGUCAGGAAAUGCAUCAAAUUCAGAAGUUAAUCCAAGUGUAUCUUCAUCAGUUAGAAGUAGAAGAAAAAAUGCUCCGGGAAAUCGAUCUGAUAUUGGGUGGAAACAUGGAUUUAAUGUUAAUGGUAAUGGAAGAAAAGUGAAAUGCAACUAUUGCUCAAAGAUUGUAAGUGGAGGCAUAUUUAGAUUUAAGCAUCAUCUUGCUAGAACUAGAGAAGAUUUUGAACCUUGUGCUUCUGUUCCGUAUGAACUAAAAAAUUUGAUGAUAAAAAUAGUUGCAGAAGCUAAGAAUGCUUCAUUAAAGAAAAGAAAGAUAAAUAUCGGUGAAGACGAGGAAGAAAGUGAGAGUCUUAAAGGAGGACACGGGGUAUUCGAUUUUAAAGGAAAAGAAAAAGUUGCUACUACUAGUAAUGGGAGAGAUCAAGCAACUAUAAAUCAAAUGAUGGAAAAAGGAUAUAAAGAAGAAGUUUAUGCUCAAGUAGCUAAAUUCUUUUACACCAGUGCCAUUCCUUUUAAUGUUAUUAGAAAUCCAACAUUUGCAAAGAUGUGUGAAAUGAUUGGUAAAUAUGGAGUUGGAUACAAACCACCAUCUUAUCAUGAUAUUAGAGAGAAGCUCUUGAAACAAGUUGUGAAUAAAACAGAUGCAAAUCUUGAGGAAUAUAACGAGGAGUGGAAGAAAAUUGGAUGUACAAUUAUGUCUGAUGGUUGGACGGAUAGAAAAAAACGUUUUAUUUGCAACUUCUUGGUGAAUAGUCCUAGAGGGACGAUUUUUCUUUAUUCCCUUGACACUUCAGACAUUUCAAAACAGCUGAUAAAGUUUUCAAAAUGUUGGAUGAUGUUAUCUAGUUUGUUGGAGAAGAAAAUGUUGUUCAAGUUGUCACUAAUAAUGCUGCAAAUUUUAAGGCAGCCAGAGAGUUGUUGAUGCAAAAGAGGGAAAAUUUUGUAUUGGACUCCAUGUGCAGCACAUUGCAUUGAUUUGAUAUUUGAAGAUUUUGAAAAAAAAGUUGAAGGUCCAUGAAUUGACUCUUAAGAAGGGAAGAAAUAUUACCACUUACAUUUAUGGGAGAUCAAUGUUGAUUUCCUUAUUGAAAAAGUUCACUAAAGGUAGAGACUUGAUAAGACCGGGUGUGACUAGAUUUGCCACGGCUUAUUUAACACUUGCUUGUCUUCAUGAAUUGAAAACAUCAUUGUUGACCAUGUUUAACUCUGAGGAAUGGAAGACAAGCAAGUUUGGAACUUCACAAGAGGGGAGAAAAGUAGAACAUGUGUUAUUAGAUAGCCAUUUUGGAAGAAUGUCUCCACAUGCUUGAAAGUUGUUGCCCCUCUUAUGGUUGUCUUAAGAUUAGUGGACUCAGAUGUAAAACUCGCAGUGGGUUUCAUUUAUGAAGAAAUGGACUCUGCAAAAGAGAAAAUUAGGUCUAACUUUAACAAUAUCAAAAGUAGGUAAAUUUUCAAACUUUUACUCAUUCAAUGUUUAAUUACUUAUGUGUGAGAUUACUUCUGAUAUAGCAUGAUUGAUGUAGUUAUGAAGAGGUUUGGAGAAUAAUUGAUGCUCGAUGGGAUAAUCAACUUCAUAGGCCUUUGCAUGCAGCUGCUUAUUUUCUAAACCUUCAUUUCCACUAUGAACCUAACUUUAGAUUUGAUGAUGGUGGAGAGGUGAAAGAAUGAUUGUAUUUUUGCAUGAGAAGAUUGAUACCGGAUAUGGUAGAAAGAAGAAAAAUUAAUUUACAAAUUGUUGAAUUUCAUAAUGCUAAAGGACUUUUUGGAAUGGAAGAUGCAAAGGAGUGUAGGAAAGAGUUAAAUCCUGGGGAAUGGUGGGACAUGUUUGGUGAUGGAACUCCGGAGUUGAAGAGAUUUGUUAUUCGAAUUCUAAGCUUGACUUGUAGUUCUUCUGGAUGUGAGCGUAAUUGGAGUUCAUUUGAAAUGGUAAUUUAAAUUAUUUUUAAUUUAUAAAUUCCUUUAUUAUGUUUAUAUCUUGAUUAAAAAUAUUAUAUUUCAUUUUAGGUUCAUACAAAGAGAAGGCAUCGUUUGCAUCAAAAAAAGAUGAAUGAUUUAGUUUAUGUGAUGUAUAACUCCAAGUUGAAAAGUAGACAGAUUCGAAAAACUAUAGCUCUUCCGUUUGAUGACAUUGAAUCAGAUGAUGAAUGGAUAGCUAAAGAGACAGAUGAUGUUGUUGAGAUUGAUCAAGUUGAAGGUGAAAAUGAUGGUGAAAAUGUUCACUUAGAUGGAGCAACAACAGAUCAUGCUCUAGAUGCUCUAGCUUUUUAGAAUCAAUUUCAAAACUAGUUUUUUGUGUGCCUAAUUUGAGUUUAGCCAUUGGCUGAGAUCUUUAUCACACAUGGGGAGAAGAAAAAUUGUCAAAUUUGCAUGUUGAUUUGAUUCUAGAUUUCUAUGAUCCUAAUCAUCUUGGUAUGUGUAUAUUGUCUAGAUUUUAUUGUAUGUUUAAGUGUUUCCAUUGAGUCUUAUUACAAGCUUUUAUUAUGUUAUUCUUGUUAUAGUUUUGUCACAUGAUUUUUCUUCUUUAGAGUUUAACUUUACUCGUUUUUAGUGCCGUUUUGCUUUUCUUUAGGUUCUUGAAUUUGUGUGUUUCUUGAGCUUGAUUAAUCACCUAAACACCCUAAAAUGAAUAUGGGUUUUUAUCACAUUGGAAAUAACAUAAUGGGAAUUGAAAGUUCACCUGUUUAAUCUACUUAAUGUUCAAUUUAAGAAUUGGAUUGACGAAGAAUUAAUAUUCUAAAAAAUUUAUAAAACAAAGUUUGAAGAAACUAGAUUCUAGAGUUAGUAUUUACAUUGAAAAAGUAAAAUCCCAUAGAUUUGUAUAUUCUCUAUUGACUUUGAAUAUAUAUGAUGUGGCCAUGAGAGAAAAGGAGGGGAAACUUAUCUUUUUCUCUAGUAUCCUUGUUCACAAAUGUAGCUAUCAAAAGGGUCCAGUCUAAGCUUUAAUGCAACCUAAAAGGAGUUGAGAUAUGUUACCUAUUACUACUCACAAGCCUCCAAGUGAUUGAUAUUUUAGUUGCUAAUCCAUAUCAAUUUGUUGCAAACAAACAACAGGCAAGAGAAUCAUGUUGAUAUUCAUCGUGAGCUAUGUAUCAGAUUCUGACAAUUCUAGAAAUAUUAUGUACUAUUAGCAGACCAUGACCAAAUCUGAUUGUGUUUUUCUGUGCCCUUUUGCAAUCAUAAUUUGAAAAAAGCAGUUGGAAGAAUUAGAAAUGGCACAACUAAAUGGUUUCUGGCUAUUUCUUGGGAGGCAUAGUUUCUGAAACUAAAAAAGAAAAUUUGAAUUUGAUGUCUCUUUCUUUGAACCCAAUUAACAGAACGGUUUGGUAGUUACUGGUAGUUUGUUGCUGUAUACUAUACAAAAUAUCUGUGUUUCCAAGAAUUAUGGGCUUCAUGUUUGAUUUUGAAAGCUCAGUAGUUUCCUUGCAACACAUUCUUAAAUUGAGUGAUGAACUUCUUUUCUUGGAUAACAAAAUACAAAGUUGUUUCAAUAUGUUGAAAUAACAUUAUGUUAAUUAGGCCAAGCUGAACUAUGAUGUUUACUCGAAUGACUAGAAGAGUUCCUUUGUUAAACUUUAACAAGUAAAAGCAUUAAACUACAAAGUUAUUUUAGAACAAUAGACACAACACAACAGCUUAUUCAUUAGUUCUCAUCCUUUCAUUUGCAAUGAAGUCCGAAAACAGAAACCAAAAUUACAAGGUGAUGGAAUCUCAAAAAGAGAAAACGAAAUGGGAAUUUGGUUUAAGUAGAAACAAACAAAGUGGGGUGGUUACAAAUAAUGGAAACUUAGUAGCCUGGUGGCUUGUAGGCAAUGAAACUGAUGCACUGAACUUGACGAACACUGUCAAAUCCAACGAUACGGACGAAGCCGUCGGGGUAGAGAGUCCUGGCCUCUCGAAGCUCCUUCAGAACCUGAGAAGAAUCAGUGCAGCCAUACAUAGGCAGCUUCCACAUGGUCCAGUACCUUCCAUCAUAGUAUCCAGGUGACCUGUUGUUCUCACGGUGUGGGAAAGCGUCCUAUAAACUCAAAACUCAUAUCAUUACUAUCAAAACUCAUAACUGUUAAAAAAUAACUGAUUCACACAAAUAAUUUUACUCUUCGAUCCAUUGUUGGUUACUCUGUUCCAAGAAAUUUACCUU
This 24145-nucleotide long non-coding RNA is filed under the name Vigna radiata. RNAcentral describes it as "long non-coding RNA (VRAD_LNC000431)". The record is from RNAcentral. Lineage: Eukaryota; Viridiplantae; Streptophyta; Magnoliopsida; Fabales; Fabaceae.